This is a long non-coding RNA of Gallus gallus (chicken), 3399 nucleotides long. The record is from Ensembl. Lineage: Eukaryota; Metazoa; Chordata; Aves; Galliformes; Phasianidae.
UCGAAUUGCUGCGACAUUACUGACACUGCCUUCUAGAGGGACGAGGAAGUUCAACACAAACCUGGCCAAUCCCAAGGCAGUAUCAGGGUGGGUUUUGUUCGAGUUUCUCCAUCUGCAAUCCAGCAGCAUAGCCUUCUGUGGGAGAUUCACCCAGAGGGACUGAAAUGUUUUGGCCAAUCCACACUAGCAGUCAUUGGGCUGAAGUUUUCUUUGUCUCCCAGGAUGGAGAAAUUGGACUGAUUCCUCAGACAAGGAAGAGAGCCAGGCACCAAAUCCCGAGAUCUGGAUCUGCAAUCACUGCCUGGUCAGGCUGGAAUGAAUAAUCCAGCUGUAAUGGGGUGUGGGAAUGUGUGCAGCAUGCCCUUUUUUAAACUUCUGAUACUUUGCAGAAGAGGCACACCUUACAUCAGCCAGGCCUUACAGAAAGUUCAGUUCAAAGUUUUUGGCUUUUUCUGCGUCUUUUGAAUGAAACAAACACAGAUUACAUAGUUUUAAAUUCCCCAUCCUAUCUACACAGGCUCAUUUGCUGUCAUGUUUAGCUACUUGUAGAAAAGAAGAAACACUACCCCUUUAAUUCUUCAAAUAGGUUACUAGAAAAACAUUAGCAUUUUUGCAAAAUAUAUUGGGUUGACUGUUUUGGUUUAUUUUUGCUGAGAGCAGACUGGAUUGACUACAGAAAGGUUGGCAAGUGGAAAGUACAAAGUCUCUUUAUAAAAGUGAUCUGAGGAGCAGGAGCACGCACCUAGGAAAUCUUUGUUGAUUGUUGCUAAUAUCUAUGAUAAUUAAGCUAAAAAUAUCCACAAAGCAAUAGAAUUUGCAGAGACGACUCUACUGUCUUAAGCAAAUAAUGAAGCAGGGAACAGUUAAAUUGAUCCCACAACUCCCAUUUCAAUAACAAAGCAGCAACAACUGUUAAUCUAUAGCACUCACUUUAGAUUACAAACCUAACACUGAACAGGCAAUUUCAUUAGUGAGAAUACAGCUGAGAGAGAAAUGCUGGGAGGGAAAAAAGCCAUCCCUGUUGAAAUCAAAGCAUCCUGAGAAUUUCUUGCUGCUGUGUGCCCAGAAGUGCAAUCAGGGAAAAGUUCUGAAGAUAUCAGGUACAGCUAUAGGAAGCAGUUCCCUUUUGUUUUGCCCUGAAGGCUGUCAGAACACAGCCUGCUGACCGAUCUCACCAACCCAGGUUUUUCCUUUUUAUUCUUGUCCCCCAGCUCAACACAUUCUCUGAGAGCCAACCAACCCCCAAGCUCACCCACAGAUACCAGCACUGCCUGGAAGAGAGAGUUCUCUUUUAAAAUUAGCUCCUUUCAGACGCUUGUACAAACCCAUAGAUAUCACAGGGCCUGCAGAACCAGUGCCAAGGAACAUCCCCAGAGUGAUGCUGCCAAUGAAGGAGGGAAGGCUCAUUCCCCAUCAGUGCUGGCAGCUGUGGGGACCUUAUGGGAGUCAGAACUUUCUGUUCUCACUGAAGGUAGCAGGCAGGACUAUAAAUAUCCACAUAGAACAUAUUUACUGAAGGAUUGAGUGCUGUAAGAACACAUUUUAGAGGUAAUAGCAGCUACUGAGAUAAAAUCAAAGAACUACAUAAUAAUGGAGGUGAGAAGGGACCUCUGAAAGCACCUACUCCAGCCUCCUGCUCAAAGCAGAGCCAACUUCCAUUACAGGGUGUGCUGCCUGCGACCGUGGCCAGCUGUGUUCUGACAGAUCUCAGGGAUGGAGAGCCCACAGACUUUCCAAGGAAGCUGUUUCUGUGUUGCAUAACCUUCAUUCUGAUGAAUUUUUUCCUCAGAAUGUACGUCUACUCUCUCAUCAUUUUGCAGCAUGCUGCUGCAGAGAGUCUGACUCCAGCUUCACUACAAUAUCAUUGAGGUAAUGGAAGACGGCAAUUAGAAGUCCCAUUAGCCAACCUUCUCCAGGCUAAACAAACUCAGCACCCUUAGACUCUCCUAAUACAUCUCCUGAACAUCCUAUUGACCCUUGACUGGACGUGCUCCCAUUUUUUGACCUAUCAGUUGCACUGGAACAGUCUUCCAACUGUGAGUUGCAAUCUCACAAGUGCAGAGCUGAGGUUAAUGAUGGACCUGUUGGCUACAUUCAUAUGCAGCCAGGCUUCAUUACCCUAAGCACACACUGCUCAUAACCACUUUGUGGUCCACCAGGACCCCAGGUCCUUUCUGCAGAGCUUCUCCCAUUCAGUCCAUAUUGUUGAUGUAUCUCAGAGGCAGGACCAGCUGUGCUUGCCCUCAGGAUGAGAUUCUUGCUAGCCUAUUCUUCAAGCUUGUUAAGAUCUUUGCCUUUCUUUGAUAACAGACCUUAGAAGUUUGGGUAACAUUUUCUGCAUGUGCUCAUGAAAAGAAAAAAAAAUGAAUAAAGAGAGAAAAAAAAGAAGAAAAAAAAGGAGUAAAUAUAGGACUUUUGUAUAUAUGUGCAAACUCACAAGUGUUAUGCUGUUUUGUACCACCACUCUACAUUCCUUACAAUACUACUAGAGGCCAAGGAAAACUGAAAUCCCAGCUGACAUCAACAGGAGUUUUUACUGGCUGCGAUGACCUUGAAGAUAGUCCAGACAUGUAAAGCACAACAGCAGGAAUCAGGAUGUCAGCAUUAGCACUGGGAUGGAAUUGAUUAACAUGAUUUUUCUAGAAAGGAAGGAAGAUAAGUUGCUGCUUUUGAGUGGGGGACUUGAAAUCUAUAACUAAUAUUCCUGACUGAAAUUCUGUUAGCAAAAUUUAUGACACAGAUGGGAAUCACAUUUUUCUUCAGAUAAGAACACUUCUUGUAGUCAUUCAUUCUGUAUUUCAUGAGACACUAGCAGAUACAGUGAGCUAUUUCACUCUAUUUCUGCUUAUAGAGCAUCCUGACUUUUCGACACUUCAAAAACUGUAUAUAUUGUGAUGACUAUAUAGACAACCUCAAUGAAAGUCUACUACUGCAUGCUUAAUAAUUCACUUGUAUCCAAAUGGAAAUAUUCAUUGCAGCAUUAGCAAAGGCUGUUCUAAGUCAUGCAGUGGCUGUUCACCAAAUUUAACUUCCCAUGCCCAGAUUCUUGUAAGAAUUUCUCCUAUACAUCGCAUCUCCUUUAUUGCUUUAUUGCAGGAGUUUAGAAAAAACGCUGCCCUUCCAUAAUGGAAUUUUUCUCCUCCCUUGUUGCAGUUGCGUAUGCAUUUUACAAGUACACAAUGACUGUGCUGCUUUAACUUUGUUACAAUACUCGGGGAAUAAUUAGUUCUGUAUCUUCUAACAAAGAACAAAUGUAUUUGUUCAAAAAUUAAAUAUUUACUUUCCUAAGAGCCAUCAUAAGUUGUUGUGAGUGCUUGUCUACAUUAUGUGUGGAAAAUUAAAUAUACUCUGUAUAAUAAUUCUGCUGGUAUAAUAAAGGAUUAUGCAUGACAAGGGAAA